CUUUUGUUAUUUGACUUUCCAUACCUUUAGAAUUCUCCACGCUGCAAAAAAGCAGACGAACUUGGAAAAAAGACAUAUCGCGUGGUGAUCGCAUAUAGUGGUGAAUAACGCCGAUGUUGGGAAUUCCUGUUGGCGAGUUUGUGUGAAUUUGUUGAAAAACAAACAAAAAAAGGCAAAAUAUCAGUCAUGGAGCCAAUAACAGCUGAAGGCGACGGGGAAUCUUUAUCAAACAGUAAUGCGGGUAGUUCUGGUGCCUUCCAGGUUGGAAGAAUACACAUGCACUGGAAGGGCAUACACAAGUUGGAGGAGACGGGGGGAGAAAGUGUUAAUAAUGUUACAUCUAUCAAGUAUUACCUCGUAAAAACUGUUGAAAGAGAUGAAAACUUCAAAGACAUUACUUACUACACUUGUGUUCCAACAACCUGGGUUGAACACCGAUGUAAGACAACGAUGGGAUCACGUGAAAACAGUAUAUAGAUAGACUUCAAGCAUUAGUUAACUGUUUUAGUCUUUAAUUUGUUUUGUCGUUGGUAUACGAAGAAGAUUCCAAUGUUAGGUUUUUACAUUGUGACAAUUUUUAUUUAACAUUUCAUGGUUAUCAGACCUUCUGGACUGCAUCAGUCAAUCAAUUACUUGUUUUGUGCCCUAAUGUCAUGCUUUUUCAUUCAGCAGUACAAUAGAAAUAAAAUACGUGGCAGUAAAAAGCACUUGUCUGUUUACUGAAAAUGUCUAGCUUGUUUGCA
Molecule: long non-coding RNA, 743 nt
Filed under: Daphnia magna
Lineage: Eukaryota; Metazoa; Arthropoda; Branchiopoda; Diplostraca; Daphniidae
Description: uncharacterized LOC123472255
Source: RNAcentral